GCCGGGUGUAGAGGUGCACACCUGUAAUCCCUGCGGCUCUAGGAAGCUGAGGCAGGAGGAUCACAAGUUCAAGGCUAGCCUGGGUGACUUAGUGAGAUCCUGUUUCAA
RNAcentral lists this small RNA (108 nucleotides) under Marmota monax (woodchuck). The record is from RNAcentral. Lineage: Eukaryota; Metazoa; Chordata; Mammalia; Rodentia; Sciuridae.